GACGUAGGGCGCGAGCGUUGUCCGGAUUUAUUGGGCGUAAAGAGCUCGUAGGCGGCUUGUCACGUCGGGUGUGAAAGCCCGGGGCUUAACCCCGGGUCUGCAUUCGAUACGGGCUAGCUAGAGUGCGGAAGGGGCAAUCGGAAUUCUUGGUGUAGCGGUGAAAUGCGUAGAUAUCAAGAGGAACACCUGAGGUGAAGACGGGUUGCUGGGCCGACACUGACGCUGAGUGCACGAAAGCCAGGGGAGCAAACGGG
This 254-nucleotide ribosomal RNA is filed under the name uncultured bacterium. RNAcentral's name for it is "partial 16S ribosomal RNA". It matches the Rfam family "Bacterial small subunit ribosomal RNA", at positions 524 to 776 of the family's 1533-position model. The record is from RNAcentral.